Medicago truncatula (barrel medic) is the source of this 636-nucleotide long non-coding RNA. RefSeq lists it as uncharacterized. The record is from RefSeq and is a predicted model, not a curated record. Lineage: Eukaryota; Viridiplantae; Streptophyta; Magnoliopsida; Fabales; Fabaceae. The transcript is spliced from 2 exons.
AUGGGUAUUUGUAAUGUUACCAAGAAAAUGAGCUAUAUAAAUAAUAAAGUGAUAAAUACAUAUAUUACAAACAAAGGAGGGAGAUAUGGCUAAAAUUAUCAAUUUUGUUUAUAAUAUGAUUAUCUUUUUUUCCUUAUUUCUGGUUGCAACGAAUGCUGGAGGGUGUAAUCCAUGUCUCGUUACUUGUCCUGAUGAUCUACUAAAUAGGUGUCCCCCUGGUAUGGAACCGAUAUGUGAGUAUGGAGUAAUUAAAUGUUAUCCGAUAGGGAAGGAAACAAAUCGUGUGCUCACAUGAUUCUUCAUUUAUUUCUAGACCCCAAAUAGUACACAAAUGCUCCUACAAUAUUCCACGAGCUGUCAUUUAGUUAUUUUCUCACAACCCAAUAAAUUAAUUUUUUUUUUCUUUUUAGAAUUUGAAGAACUUUUUAGAUUUAUAUUUGCACUCUAAAAUAAUGAUAAUGAAAUGAAAUAAGACAGCAGCACAUAUUAUUUAGAUUAUAUUCUUCUCUCUUUAUUUGGACUAGCGUUCAGACGGGCACUCCCGUGCCUGUUUGUCCGCUCUUUCUACUACGCUAUAGCAUGUAACUCAUAAACAGUAUGUUUUUCAACAUCAAUGUUGUUUAGUUUUUCUUGAUA